GACGAACGCUGGCGGCGUGCUUAACACAUGCAAGUCGAACGAAGAGCGAUGGAAGCUUGCUUCUAUCAAUCUUAGUGGCGAACGGGUGAGUAACGCGUAAUCAACCUGCCCUUCAGAGGGGGACAACAGUUGGAAACGACUGCUAAUACCGCAUACGAUCUAAUCUCGGCAUCGAGGAUAGAUGAAAGGUGGCCUCUACAUGUAAGCUAUCACUGAAGGAGGGGAUUGCGUCUGAUUAGCUAGUUGGAGGGGUAACGGCCCACCAAGGCGAUGAUCAGUAGCCGGUCUGAGAGGAUGAACGGCCACAUUGGGACUGAGACACGGCCCAGACUCCUACGGGAGGCAGCAGUGGGGAAUCUUCCGCAAUGGACGAAAGUCUGACGGAGCAACGCCGCGUGAGUGAUGACGGCCUUCGGGUUGUAAAGCUCGGUUAAUCGGGACGAAAGGCCUUCUUGCGAAUAGGGAGAAGGAUUGACGGUACCGGAAUAGAAAGCCACGGCUAACUACGUG
Molecule: ribosomal RNA, 510 nt
Filed under: uncultured bacterium
Lineage: Bacteria
Description: partial 16S ribosomal RNA
Rfam family: Bacterial small subunit ribosomal RNA
Source: RNAcentral